AUGCUCAAGUUACUUGAAUUUUAUCUAGUUUGUAAUGAAAUAGUCAUUGAAUUUAACACUAUCGCUGCACUAAUUAAAGAUUUUGUUUCUGUGAGAAGAUUAGAAUUAAACGUGGAUUCCUGCUACAUUUUCAAAUAUGCUGAUAGAAGAUUCAUCAGAGAUCAGUAUCAUUACCUGUGUCUGUUACCCAAGUCCAGUGAAGGAGGAGGGGCCCACGUGUCGGUCCGGGGGAGCGGUAGGUGGUCAGCGGUUCCGCGGCACGUGGGUCGGCACGUGCCCGAGCGCUUGGCCCGGGGCAACCUGGAGCCGCCGGCCUCGGUGGCCGAGGCGGUGUCGUCCUUGACUAUCGCCGAUGCAUUCGUUGCAGCAGGCGAGGGCGCCGCCCCGCCGCCCCAGGCGCUCCCUCGGAGGUUCAUCUGCUCCUUCCCCAGCUGCAGCGCCGCUUACAACAAGGCCUGGAAGCUGGACGCGCACCUGUGCCGGCACACGGGGGAGAGACCAUUUGUUUGUGACCAUGAAGGGUGUGGCAAGGCCUUUGUCAGGGACUACCAUCUCAGCCGCCACGCGGUGAUUCACACCGGAGAAAAGCCCUUUGUUUGUACAGCUAGCGGCUGUGAACAGAAAUUCAACACAAAAUCAAACUUGAAGAAACAUUUUGAACGCAAACAUGAAAACCAGCAGAAACAAUAUGCAUGCAGUUUUGAAGGUUGUAAGAAGACCUUUAAGAAACAUCAGCAGCUGAAAACCCACCAGUGCCAGCACACCAACGAGCCACUGUUCAAGUGUGCCCAAGAGGGAUGUGGAAAACACUUCGCCUCCCCCAGCAGUCUGAAGCGGCAUGGGAAGGUCCAUGAGGGCUAUAUAUGUCAAAAAGAAUGUUCUUUUGUGGCAAAAACAUGGACAGAGCUUCUAAAACACAUGAGAGAAACCCAUAAAGAGGACAUAAGGUGUGGCGUGUGCCAGAAAACGUUUAAGCGCAAGGACUUCCUGCGGCAGCACAUGAGGAUGCACACCCCCGAGCGGGACGUGUGCCGGUGUCCACGGGCAGGCUGCGGCCGCACCUACACCACCUCCUUCAACCUCCAGAGCCACAUCCUCUCCUUCCACGAGCAGCAGCGCCCCUUCGUGUGCGAGCAUGCUGGCUGCGGCAAGACCUUUGCCAUGAAGCAGAGCCUCAGCAGGCAUGCCAUUGUGCAUGACCCCAACAUGAAGAAAAUCAAAGUGAGGCAGUCUCGUGGGAAGCGGAGCCUGGCCUCCCGGCUCAGUGGGUACCUUCCUCCUAAGAGGACACAGGGCCAGGCUGUGCCUUUGCCCAGGAAUGGGGAGCCGCUGAGCUGCAUGGAAGGCCACGCGCUCUCCACGUCGCCAUGCUGACUGCAGCUGCACAUCCGCCUGCGCUGUAUGGAGGACCACAGACCAGCCAAUGCAGUUUCUCUCCCCUGGAAGCAUGUGUUUAUUAAAGUCACUGGGGCAGGACACCAGA
Molecule: RNA transcript, 1483 nt
Organism: Capra hircus (goat)
Lineage: Eukaryota; Metazoa; Chordata; Mammalia; Artiodactyla; Bovidae
Gene name: transcription factor IIIA pseudogene
Exons: 3
Source: RefSeq, a predicted model, not a curated record